RNAcentral lists this ribosomal RNA (441 nucleotides) under uncultured bacterium. RNAcentral's name for it is "partial 16S ribosomal RNA". It matches the Rfam family "Bacterial small subunit ribosomal RNA", at positions 338 to 795 of the family's 1533-position model. The record is from RNAcentral.
CCUACGGGUGGCAGCAGUGGGGAAUAUUGGGCAAUGGGCGCAAGCCUGACCCAGCAACGCCGCGUGAAGGAAGAAGGCUUUCGGGUUGUAAACUUCUUUUAAGGGGGACGAACAAAUGACGGUACCCCUUGAAUAAGCCACGGCUAACUACGUGCCAGCAGCCGCGGUAAUACGUAGGUGGCAAGCGUUAUCCGGAUUUAUUGGGUGUAAAGGGUGUGUAGGCGGGAGCGCAAGUCAGAUGUGAAAACUCAGAGCUCAACCCUGAGCCUGCAUUUGAAACUGUGUUUCUUGAGUGCUGGAGGGGCAAUGGGAAUUCCGUGUGUAGCGGGGAAAUGCGUAGAUAUACGGAGGAACACCAGUGGCGAGGGCGGAUUGCUGGACAGUAACGGACGCUGAGGCGCGAAAGCGUGGGAGCAAACAGGAUUAGAUACCCGAGUAGUU